This 464-nucleotide ribosomal RNA is filed under the name uncultured bacterium. Its description in RNAcentral is "bacterial SSU rRNA". It matches the Rfam family "Bacterial small subunit ribosomal RNA", at positions 340 to 787 of the family's 1533-position model. The record is from RNAcentral.
UACGGGAGGCAGCAGGGGGAAUAUUGGACAAUGGGCGGAAGCCUGAUCCAGCCAUGCCGCGUGUGUGAAGAAGGCCUUUUGGUUGUAAAGCACUUUAAGCGAGGAGGAGGCUACUAGUACUAAUACUACUGGAUAGUGGACGUUACUCGCAGAAUAAGCACCGGCUAACUCUGUGCCAGCAGCCGCGGUAAUACAGAGGGUGCGAGCGUUAAUCGGAUUUACUGGGCGUAAAGCGUGCGUAGGCGGCUGAUUAAGUCGGAUGUGAAAUCCCUGAGCUUAACUUAGGAAUUGCAUUCGAUACUGGUCAGCUAGAGUAUGGGGAGAGGAUGGUAGAAUUCCAGGUGUGGCGGUGAAAUGCGUAGAGAUCUGGAGGAAUACCGAUGGGCGAAGGCAGCCAUCUGGCCUAAUACUGACGCUGAGUACGAAAGCAUGGGGAAGGCGGAAAACAGGGAUUAGGAAUAACC